RNAcentral lists this unclassified non-coding RNA (1330 nucleotides) under Dimorphilus gyrociliatus. RNAcentral's name for it is "40S ribosomal protein S4". Lineage: Eukaryota; Metazoa; Annelida; Polychaeta; Dinophilidae. The record is from RNAcentral.
CCUUUUCCGCUAAGUUUUCAGACAUGGUAGGUUUAUUCUCUCAAAAAUCCGGAAAAAUCUUUCUUUAAAGUCGUUUAACACGAAAAUUUUAUUGUUGAAUUCGUCGAAUAUUCUCUCAUUAACAUGAUAUAUUCGAUUUGUGAUACUUACGGCUUUAUUUGAAAAUAUUUGUCGCUUUUUUCUUGGCCGCUGCUGGCACUACAUUUGAUUUCCUUGAAUCGGAGUCAAACGAUCAAGCACGGCCUAAAAUAAGCAUGUAAAUCAAGCUAAUGAGUGAUAGACAACGUAUUCAUUGGUUCAAGAGCAUUGGUACAUAAUGAAUUUUCUGUUUUAGGGGCGAGGACCGAAGAAACAUCUGAAGCGUUUGAAUGCGCCAAAACACUGGAUGCUCGACAAAGUCGGCGGUGUAUUCGUGAGUAUUUUACAAUAUUACUUCUAUGCCGUUAUCGAAGCUCUAAUAUGGAUAAACUGUAUUUGGGUCAUGUUACGGCUAGAUUAAUAAUUUCUGACGGUCGCCCGUUUAGAGCUCCUGUCCUAUUCGUGCAUUACCAACUGAUAGUAACAUAAAAUUUUCCAAUACAGGCGCCGAAACCUAGUGCUGGACCACACAAAACUAGGGAAUGUCUCCCAUUGAUGAUAUUCUUGCGUAAUCGUCUAAAGUAUGCUUUGACCUACGAUGAAUGCAAGAAAAUUGUCAACCAGCGCUUGAUUAGAGUAGACGGUAAAGUGCGAACUGAUAAGACCUUCCCUUGCGGUUUCAUGGAUGUCAUCACCAUCCAAAGAACUAAUGAGCACUUUCGUCUAGUGUAUGAUGUUAAAGGCCGAUUCAUUGUUCACCGUAUUACCCCUGAAGAGGCCAAGUAUAAAUUGUGCAAAGUAAAAAGAAUACAGGUUGGCCCUAAAGGUGUACCUUUCAUCGUUACACACGAUGCUCGUACCAUCCGUUACCCGGAUCCCCUUAUUAAACUAAACGAUACCGUACGUGUCGAUAUUGCAACCGGAAAGAUCAAGGAUUAUCUAAAGUUCGAUUCCGGUAUGAUUGUUAUGAUCACCGGAGGUAGGAACUUGGGAAGAGUUGGAACCAUCACACACCGUGAAAAACAUCCCGGCUCUUUCGACAUCGUACACGUAAAAGAUAAGGAAGGACAUAUUUUCGCUACUCGAUUAAACAACACCUUCAUCAUCGGUAAGGGCAGCAACCCCUGGAUUUCUCUACCUAAAGGCAAAGGUAUCAAAUUGUCGGUUGCAGAAGAGAGAGACAAGAGAAUCGCCAAGAAAGAAAUCUAAAUGAACGAUUGUUUAUGUAUGUGCGUGUAGUUUUAAAAAUAAA